UGAACCCUUGCGGGUCUUUUACGUGAUCUAAUACUAUGAUGAUUCUUACGUUUGAGUCCCGCGAGCACGCACUGACAUGUACCUGUAAGUAGUGCGUGCUCGGAGUCAUGUUUGAACCCCGUUUGAGCGUGCGUGCUCCGAGUCACGUGAUCUUCGUUUUGCGAACAAUAGACAAGCGUCCGGGGGUACUCUGACCCAGUUCUCCCGCCUGAUACACACAAAAUGCCGCUAGUCUAAGAAGAGUUUUUCCCGAGGAUAAUGUUGGUGCACGUAGCCGGGCCAGUAGUUUCGCCUCAAGGUAUCUGGAAGACGAGGAACCACCCCAGCUGACCCAGUUCAGCAGCGGAGGGAUAUGGAUGUACAUGUAUAUCAGAAAAGACAACCGCCGAACUUAUCAGUUGGAGACGAAACGCGGCUCGAAGAGGUCAUGGCUUCGGUAGAAGUCAGAUCAAACCGCCGUGGUCUCCAGGGCUCCAUCGACUGCUUUGCUGAUGGCAGGACUUAACCGGUCAGUGUGAUGUGAGUGAGUGCGCCUGAUGAAAGCGCAGACAUAGGGGUGUAAUCAGUGCAGACUUGUUGGAAUAUAUCAAUCAGCCAAGACUAAUGAUACAUACAGGACACGAGUGACAACGUCGAGGUGUUCCGCCACAACUUGCACAGGGACUCCUACCACGACAGGGAAAAUCAGUCGAGUCCUUCCACUGCAAGUCGGUGAGACGAGAUGCAUCACUGGAGGAGCCGGAAUAGACGUCCGUGUGCCUUAUAAAGUCGGGAAGGAGGGGAGCCACACAUCACCCAGAACAGCACCGUCGACAUGAGGAAGACAACGAUAGGAGAGUGCCAGACCAGUAGCAGAUCUAGAAUAGCCAAUCGAUCGCGCUGCUACAACCAUAGUGAACCUAAAACUAGUUAGAGAAUUCACGGACUGGUUUUGAGGUGAUUUAUACCAUUACUAUGCAUUUAGUGUACCGGGUAUACAUUGCAGUAGUAGUUAAGUGUGCAUGUAAAUCAAAGAACCGCACAUAAGGUUAACCUCAGCGACGACGGACCGAAUCAAACCGGAGAUGGAUGUAGUUAAGGAGAGAACGGCCAUAGAAAUGUUCAGUACAAUUAUUCUGUAUCCAACCUGUGACCGAAGUUAGCGGGGUCAGCAUUAUGUAGUAACGUCAAAACACUUUAACAGUGUCCCGUGCCAAGUGUACGGAAAACCUUG
Molecule: long non-coding RNA, 1213 nt
Organism: Branchiostoma floridae (Florida lancelet)
Lineage: Eukaryota; Metazoa; Chordata; Leptocardii; Amphioxiformes; Branchiostomatidae
Exons: 4
Source: RefSeq, a predicted model, not a curated record